This 155-nucleotide microRNA precursor is filed under the name Amphimedon queenslandica. Its description in RNAcentral is "microRNA aqu-mir-2021 precursor". Lineage: Eukaryota; Metazoa; Porifera; Demospongiae; Haplosclerida; Niphatidae. The record is from miRBase by way of RNAcentral.
AGUGUUGUUGAUGUCCAUGGAAUAUCGGCACCCAUCCAGUUAAAACCUUCAACGAUCCACUCGUGCAGCUAUGGGUCCCUAGACUAGCACCAGUGGGUGAUUGUGUCAGGAGGUGUGUGAUGGUGGUCGGUGUUUCGUGGACACCAACAAUGCAA